AUACGGAGGAUCCGAGCGUUAUCCGGAUUUAUUGGGUUUAAAGGGUGCGCAGGCGGCCAUUUAAGUCAGCGGUUAAAUCGUGGGGCUCAACCCCAUUCUGCCGUUGAUACUGGGUGGCUUGAUUGCGGUCGAGGUUGGCGGAAUUCGUUGUGUAGCGGUUGAAUGCAUAGAUAUGACGAAGAACACCGAUUGCGUAGGCAGCUGACCAGAUCGCAAAUGACGCUCAUGCACGAAAGUGCGGGGAUCGAACAGGAUUAGAUACCCUGGUAGUCCGCACAGUAAACGAUGAAUACUUGUUUUCGGCGAUAUAAUGUCGGAGGCAAAGCGAAAGCGAUAAGUAUUCCACCUGGGGAGUACGCCGGCAACGGUGAAACUCAAAGGAAUUGACGGGG
Molecule: ribosomal RNA, 392 nt
Filed under: uncultured bacterium
Lineage: Bacteria
Description: partial 16S ribosomal RNA
Rfam family: Bacterial small subunit ribosomal RNA
Source: RNAcentral